Molecule: long non-coding RNA, 1507 nt
Filed under: Arabidopsis lyrata
Lineage: Eukaryota; Viridiplantae; Streptophyta; Magnoliopsida; Brassicales; Brassicaceae
Description: long non-coding RNA (ALYR_LNC002220)
Source: RNAcentral
CAGAGAAUAUGAUCUGAAUAUAUCAAUGAUCAAUGAAAGCAGAAUGAAAUUUGUCAACUUCGAGUGUAUCUAUAAGACCAUACACAAUUACACACUUUAAUAAAUACUUUUAACUAGUUUACAAAUUUUGCUUAAUAUGUAACUAGUUAAGUAUUGAUUCCUUAUUAGUACCACAAGUAGACAACACUCAGAACUAUUUUGCCGUAGUGUCCAAGCUAACGUUCAUUUCUUGAGAUUCCAAGCUUCGAUUCUUACUUAUCCCUGUGUUUUCACACACAAUACACUCUUUUAGUUAAAGGAGUGUAAGAUAACUUUUUAACAAAGAAAUCCUAAAGACAACACAAGAACUGACAAUUAGAAAAACUCACUAGAUUCACAUAAAUGUUUAUAGAUUCACAUCUCUUACAGAAAAUUAAGGGUAUGAAUCAACAUUCUAGUUUGAUGCAAAUAAACAAAUAAAACCAAUAAUCAAAAAGGCACAUAUAAGCUCAGAUUCCAAAACUCUAUGAUCAAAAGCUGAAAACCAGAUAAAGUACAUCUAAAGAAGAAGCAAUAGUCAAAUAUAGAAAUAUAUGGAAUUGAAUCGUUUGACAAGAAAAUUAAGAGAGAAAGGGACUACAUGUAGACAUGUGAAUCAGAAAUGAAGAAAUGUGACUUAGCAAUUGACAAGUAAAAAGGGACAUGAAACCACACACUAACUCCUCAUUCACACUUCAAGUCUCAACACAUUCUAAUUGCUAAACUCCACUUGUUCUAAUUCCCACAACUAUAAAUGAUUCAAACAUUCCCCACGUAGAGAAGAACACCAUUAUCUCCAGCUAAGACAAGACGAAGUAAGUAAAAUCAAUGACUUAUUCAAUCCACGACACUUAACACCUAAACUAAAGACAGCUCCAAAUUUUCCAAACCACCAACAUCACGAGACUUAAAAAUACAAACAAAGAGAACACACCAGUUUCUUCACCAAUUCAUAUCCUCUCAACCUUAUCAGCCUUCACCACAUGAUUAGCCUUAGCAUUAACCUCUUACCCAUCAAUGUAAGAUGCAUCAGUUUUUUAUUCCAAUUUGAGUUGAAGAAACAAAAUCCCAGAACCAACAAUUCAUGUAAUCUAGUCAAGCAAACUCAGAUUAAGCAUAAACACCAGCAUAAGCUUUAGAUUAACCAGAAGAUCUUAGCUAUCUACUUUUAAAACCUAACAUAAGCUUUAGCUACAACUCCAAACACCAAACAGAGCGAUUCAUCAAAAACAGAUAAGAACAAUGACUUCAACGGAAUCAAUCUUCUAAUCCACUAAUAAAAGAACAUAAAUUUCAUAGAAAAAUCGAAAUCUAAACAAAACCCAGAUGCAGAAUCAUUAAUAGAAACAGAGAUUGAGUCGGAAAAAAACAAAAACCUAACCUUUGAAAAACAGAGAUCGUUUGUCUCACGGGUUGCAGAGAAAGAAGAGAAAUUAGGGUUGGGUUAUUUUGUAAAUUUUUGAAAAAUAAGGGUAUUUUUGUCAUUUAC